This 471-nucleotide ribosomal RNA is filed under the name uncultured bacterium. Its description in RNAcentral is "bacterial SSU rRNA". It matches the Rfam family "Bacterial small subunit ribosomal RNA", at positions 8 to 526 of the family's 1533-position model. The record is from RNAcentral.
AGGGUUCGAUCCUGGCUCAGGAUGAACGCUGGCGGCGUGCUUAACACAUGCAAGUCGAACGAACCUUCGGGUUAGUGGCGGACGGGUGAGUAACGCGUGAGAAUCUGCCCUCAGGAGGGGGAUAACGGUUGGAAACGACCGCUAAUACCCCAUAUGCCUACUGGUGAAAUGAAUUUCGCCUGAGGAUGAGCUCGCGUCUGAUUAGCUAGUUGGUGAGGUAAUGGCUCACCAAGGCUUCGAUCAGUAGCUGGUCUGAGAGGAUGAUCAGCCACACUGGGACUGAGACACGGCCCAGACUCCUACGGGAGGCAGCAGUGGGGAAUUUUCCGCAAUGGGCGAAAGCCUGACGGAGCAACGCCGCGUGAGGGACGAGGGCCUCUGGGCUGUAAACCUCUUUUCUCAAGGAAGAAGAUAUGACGGUACUUGAGGAAUAAGCCACGGCUAAUUCCGUGCCAGCCGCCGCGGUAAUAC